CAGUAGCCGCGGUAAUACGUAGGGUGCAAGCGUUAAUCGGAAUUACUGGGCGUAAAGCGUGCGCAGGCGGUCCUCUAAGACAGAUGUGAAAUCCCCGGGCUUAACCUGGGAACUGCAUUUGUGACUGGCGGGCUAGAGUAUGGCAGAGGGGGGUAGAAUUCCACGUGUAGCAGUGAAAUGCGUAGAGAUGUGGAGGAAUACCGAUGGCGAAGGCAGCCCCCUGGGCCAAUACUGACGCUCAUGCACGAAAGCGUGGGGAGCAAACAGGAUUAGAUACCCGCGUAGUCCCUGUCUCUUAUAA
RNAcentral lists this ribosomal RNA (301 nucleotides) under uncultured bacterium. RNAcentral describes it as "partial 16S ribosomal RNA". It matches the Rfam family "Bacterial small subunit ribosomal RNA", at positions 509 to 809 of the family's 1533-position model. The record is from RNAcentral.